CAUGAGUGGCGGACGGGUGAGUAACGCGUGGGCAACCUGGCCUGUACAGGGGGAUAACACUUAGAAAUAGGUGCUAAUACCGCAUAACGGGAGAAGCCGCAUGGCUUUUUCCUGAAAACUCCGGUGGUACAGGAUGGGCCCGCGUCUGAUUAGCCAGUUGGCAGGGUAACGGCCUACCAAAGCGACGAUCAGUAGCCGGCCUGAGAGGGUGAACGGCCACAUUGGGACUGAGACACGGCCCAAACUCCUACGGAAGGCAGCAG
RNAcentral lists this ribosomal RNA (263 nucleotides) under uncultured bacterium. RNAcentral describes it as "partial 16S ribosomal RNA". It matches the Rfam family "Bacterial small subunit ribosomal RNA", at positions 90 to 354 of the family's 1533-position model. The record is from RNAcentral.